UACGUAGGGUGCGAGCGUUGUCCGGAAUUAUUGGGCGUAAAGGGCUCGUAGGCGGUUUGUCGCGUCGGGAGUGAAAACCCAGGGCUUAACCCUGGGCUGGCUUCCGAUACGGGCAGACUAGAGGUAUGCAGGGGAGAACGGAAUUCCUGGUGUAGCGGUGAAAUGCGCAGAUAUCAGGAGGAACACCGGUGGCGAAGGCGGUUCUCUGGGCAUUACCUGACGCUGAGGAGCGAAAGUGUGGGGAGCGAACGGG
RNAcentral lists this ribosomal RNA (253 nucleotides) under uncultured bacterium. RNAcentral's name for it is "partial 16S ribosomal RNA". It matches the Rfam family "Bacterial small subunit ribosomal RNA", at positions 524 to 776 of the family's 1533-position model. The record is from RNAcentral.